ACGUAGGGUGCGAGCGUUAAUCGGAAUUACUGGGCGUAAAGCGUGCGCAGGCGGUUCGCUAAGCCAGGUGUGAAAUCCCCGGGCUUAACCUGGGAACUGCAUUUGGAACUGGCAGGCUAGAGUGUGGUAGAGGGGGGUAGAAUUCCAGGUGUAGCGGUGAAAUGCGUAGAGAUGUGAAGGAAUACCGAUGGCGAAGGCAGCCACCUGGGCCAAUACUGACGCUCAUGUACGAAAGCGUGGGGAGCAAACAG
RNAcentral lists this ribosomal RNA (251 nucleotides) under uncultured prokaryote. RNAcentral describes it as "partial 16S ribosomal RNA". It matches the Rfam family "Bacterial small subunit ribosomal RNA", at positions 525 to 775 of the family's 1533-position model. The record is from RNAcentral.